CGUUCCCGGACCUUGUACACACCGCCCGUCAAGCCAUGGGAGCCGGGAGUGCCUGAAGAUGGUGACCCGACAGGGAGCUGUCCAGGGUAAAACCGGUGACUGGGGCU
This 107-nucleotide ribosomal RNA is filed under the name uncultured bacterium. RNAcentral describes it as "partial 16S ribosomal RNA". It matches the Rfam family "Bacterial small subunit ribosomal RNA", at positions 1369 to 1482 of the family's 1533-position model. The record is from RNAcentral.